AUUGAACGCUGGCGGCAGGCCUAACACAUGCAAGUCGAGCGGAUGAAGGGAGCUUGCUCCUGGAUUCAGCGGCGGACGGGUGAGUAAUGCCUAGGAAUCUGCCUGGUAGUGGGGGAUAACGUCCGGAAACGGGCGCUAAUACCGCAUACGUCCUGAGGGAGAAAGUGGGGGAUCUUCGGACCUCACGCUAUCAGAUGAGCCUAGGUCGGAUUAGCUAGUUGGUGGGGUAAAGGCCUACCAAGGCUACGAUCCGUAACUGGUCUGAGAGGAUGAUCAGUCACACUGGAACUGAGACACGGUCCAGACUCCUACGGGAGGCAGCAGUAGGGAAUAUUGGACAAUGGGCGAAAGCCUGAUCCAGCCAUGCCGCGUGUGUGAAGAAGGUCUUCGGAUUGUAAAGCUCGUUAAGUUGGGAGGAAGGGCAGUAAGUUAAUACCUUGCUGUUUUGACGUUACCAACAGAAUAAGCACCGGCUAACUUCGUG
RNAcentral lists this ribosomal RNA (484 nucleotides) under uncultured bacterium. RNAcentral's name for it is "partial 16S ribosomal RNA". It matches the Rfam family "Bacterial small subunit ribosomal RNA", at positions 30 to 507 of the family's 1533-position model. The record is from RNAcentral.